RNAcentral lists this microRNA precursor (101 nucleotides) under Ixodes scapularis (black-legged tick). Its description in RNAcentral is "microRNA isc-mir-87 precursor". Its record names the gene isc-mir-87. The stretch from base 17 to 88 matches the Rfam family "mir-87 microRNA precursor family". The record is from miRBase by way of RNAcentral. Lineage: Eukaryota; Metazoa; Arthropoda; Arachnida; Ixodida; Ixodidae.
CACACAUCUCGCUUCUUGACUGCCUGCCUGAAAAUUUGUCUCAAACCUUUCAUAGUGUAGGUGAGCAAAGUUUCAGGUGUGUUGUCUUGGAGGACACACUG